Molecule: non-coding RNA, 206 nt
Filed under: Vibrio sp. J2-15
Lineage: Bacteria; Pseudomonadati; Pseudomonadota; Gammaproteobacteria; Vibrionales; Vibrionaceae
Also listed under: 1 other name
Source: RNAcentral
UACUAUCUUCGGCAAGCUGGUGCCAUUUAGAUGUAUAGAUGGCUGAAGAGGGAAUCUGGUGUAAAUCCAGAACUGACGCGCAGCGGUAAAAGAGAACGAGUAUUCAUAAGACACUGCAAAUAGCUUUUUGUGGGAAGUCGAAUAUUAGGUAACCAUAAAGGUUGUGCUCUUGAGUCCGAAUACCUGCCAGCGGCCAAACCAUAAGA